CAAGAGCAUCAGUUGUUUUAGUAGCACCAAAAUUAACUGCAAUUCCUUCUCAUUUGUGGGACAGCAAUCUAUAUAGAAACAGGCAAGAAAAACACACUGUCUUCGUUCCCAAUGAAAAAAAGGCACUUUCAUGCUUUCUUUAGAACCAUGGGCACAACUACUUUGCAGGGCAAAUGAGAACUAAUUCAACCAAUGCUCCAUAAUUUCAUAAUUUAAAGGUAUCCGGAGUUCUUCUAAUGUUCCUGUUAAAUGAAAUCUUACGAAAAAGUGUUCAGAUAUAAUCAAGUAUUAAGUAAAUAAUGUGCACGAUACAUAGUUAAAGUAAUGCUGAAUCUUUUUCUUUGUUAAUAUCAAAUAAAUACACUACCUACAGAAA
Molecule: long non-coding RNA, 376 nt
Organism: Agrilus planipennis (emerald ash borer)
Lineage: Eukaryota; Metazoa; Arthropoda; Insecta; Coleoptera; Buprestidae
Exons: 2
Source: RefSeq, a predicted model, not a curated record